AGUUAAUGAACUUGUAAAAGUAUAUAUUUUGAAAAUAUAAUAAAGGAAUAAAUAUCCUAUUAACUU
Molecule: transfer RNA, 66 nt
Filed under: Graptodytes pietrii
Lineage: Eukaryota; Metazoa; Arthropoda; Insecta; Coleoptera; Dytiscidae
Also listed under: 1 other name
Description: tRNA-Ser
Source: RNAcentral